CCUACGGGAGGCAGCAGUGGGGAAUUUUGGACAAUGGGCGCAAGCCUGAUCCAGCAAUGCCGCGUGAGUGAAGAAGGCCUUCGGGUUGUAAAGCUCUUUUGUCAGGGAAGAAACGGUGGAGGUUAAUACCUUCUGCUAAUGACGGUACCUGAAGAAUAAGCACCGGCUAACUACGUGCCAGCAGCCGCGGUAAUACGUAGGGUGCAAGCGUUAAUCGGAAUUACUGGGCGUAAAGCGUGCGCAGGCGGUUGUGCAAGACAGAUGUGAAAUCCCCGGGCUCAACCUGGGAAUUGCAUUUGUGACUGUACGGCUAGAGUGUGUCAGAGGGGGGUAGAAUUCCACGUGUAGCAGUGAAAUGCGUAGAGAUGUGGAGGAAUACCGAUGGCGAAGGCAGCCCCCUGGGAUAACACUGACGCUCAUGCACGAAAGCGUGGGGAGCAAACAGGAUUAGAUACCCUGGUAGUCCACGCCCUAAACGAUGUCUACUAGUUGUCGGGUCUUUAUUGACUUGGUAACGCAGCUAACGCGUGAAGUAGACCGCCUGGGGAGUACGGUCGCAAGNUUAAAACUUAAAUGAAUUGACCGG
RNAcentral lists this ribosomal RNA (586 nucleotides) under uncultured bacterium. RNAcentral's name for it is "bacterial SSU rRNA". It matches the Rfam family "Bacterial small subunit ribosomal RNA", at positions 338 to 917 of the family's 1533-position model. The record is from RNAcentral.